RNAcentral lists this ribosomal RNA (451 nucleotides) under uncultured bacterium. RNAcentral describes it as "partial 16S ribosomal RNA". It matches the Rfam family "Bacterial small subunit ribosomal RNA", at positions 354 to 796 of the family's 1533-position model. The record is from RNAcentral.
GUGGGGAAUAUUGCGCAAUGGGGGAAACCCUGACGCAGCGACGCCGUGUGAGGGAAGAAGGCUUUCGGGUCGUAAACCUCUGUCAGAAAGGAAGAACCUCCCAAGUCCGAAUAGGGCUUGGGACUGACGGUACUUUCAAAGGAAGCACCGGCUAACUCCGUGCCAGCAGCCGCGGUAAUACGGAGGGUGCAAGCGUUAAUCGGAAUCACUGGGCGUAAAGCGCGCGUAGGCCGCUUUGUAAGUCGGACGUGAAAGCCCUCGGCUCAACCGGGGAACUGCGUUCGAUACUGCGAGGCUUGAGUCCUGGAGAGGGUGGCGGAAUUCCGGGUGUAGGAGUGAAAUCCGUAGAUAUUAGGAGGAACACCGGUGGCGAAGGCGGCUACCUGGACCGAUAUUGACGCUGAGACGCGAAAGCGUGGGGAGCAAACAGGAUUAGAAACCCCUGUAGUCC